UUUUUUUUGUAUAUCUCUUGCUGUUGCUUCAUCAUGGCCGAAAAUUCCAAGAAAGUGAUGCAGCAUGAUCAACUUUCCCUGCUUAACUUUGACCACCCAGGCGUGUCGCUGGUUAAUGUCCCUCUAUCUUACCUGAAGCCAGUCAAUGUUAAUUGCAUUGGGGGCCAAAGACAAACUUUGUUUUGUUAAUGAUGAAUGCUAGAAACCGGAGGAUGGAUCUCCAGAGUCUGAGAAAUGGCUCAAGGUUGAUAGCAUGGUCAUUUCAUAGAUCUUAAGCUCGAUGUCAAAAGAAAUAGUUACAGCUUUUCUAUAAGUGUCAUCAGCUAAAAAUCUCUGGGAAGAACUUGCUCAGAGAUUUAGUGUAUGCAAUGGACCGUUGUUGUAUCAAAUCAACAGAGAAUUAUGCUCACUCAGUCAAGGUAAUAUGCCACUUAUAACUUACUUUACUAAACAAGUUGUGGGAUGAGUUAGCUUGCCUUAAACCAUUCCCAGUAUGUGAAUGUUGAGCAUCAAAAGAAAUUUACUAAAAUGGAAGAAAACACCAAAUUGAUUCAGUUUCUUAUGGGAUUGAACCUUUCAUAUGGCCAUGUCCGAAAUGGAACCAAAUUCUUUUAAUGGAACCAUUCCCACCUAUCAACAAAGCCUACUCCAUGGUCCUGCAAGUUGAAACACAAAGAGAGGCUAAUACUUUUACAAUUGAUAACAUAAGA
Molecule: unclassified non-coding RNA, 710 nt
Filed under: Hevea brasiliensis (rubber tree)
Lineage: Eukaryota; Viridiplantae; Streptophyta; Magnoliopsida; Malpighiales; Euphorbiaceae
Source: RNAcentral